GGGGCUGUCUUAUAGCUUGGUAAUUAUCCGAGGUUUGGGACUUCGAAACCGCGGUUCGAAUCCGCGCAGCCCCA
This 74-nucleotide transfer RNA is filed under the name Candidatus Pacearchaeota archaeon. Its description in RNAcentral is "tRNA-Pro". It matches the Rfam family "tRNA". From Rfam's summary of the family: Transfer RNA (tRNA) molecules are approximately 80 nucleotides in length. Their secondary structure includes four short double-helical elements and three loops (D, anti-codon, and T loops). Lineage: Archaea; Nanobdellati. The record is from RNAcentral.